This 3428-nucleotide long non-coding RNA is filed under the name Homo sapiens (human). Its description in RNAcentral is "non-protein coding lnc-MFSD8-6:8". The record is from RNAcentral. Lineage: Eukaryota; Metazoa; Chordata; Mammalia; Primates; Hominidae.
AGUGUUUAAUGGCAGGUUGAGUGGUGUAAACUGGCAGAAAAUGAGCUGUGAUAUUUCUACUUUAAGAUGAGAAUGAGAAACAACUUAUCUUGAUAAAAGCGUAGAAAUUGGUUUCUUCAGGAAGCCUUCCCUGCUUCUCUAGUUUGAGGUAAGUAGUCCUUUCAUGUGUUCAUUAUGUCUUGUGCUUCCUCUUCCUAUCAGUUUAUGAUAAUAUAGGAAAUUAUUAGCCUGCUUAAUUCUAUCAGACCAGGUGCCCUGUAAAUUCACUUGUUGCAUUCUCGGGUACCUGCAUGGGAUCUGGUAAGUUGUGUGUACUGCAAGUUCUUGAUAAAUGAAUAAUGUCAUUCAUUGUUUCUAAAUAAGCAGGAAUAGUAAAGACUUCAAGCUAUUGGCCACUUGACUCAUUUAGUCAUGCUUAUAAACCUAAGAAUUCCACAAAAACUUAUGGUUUGAAUGAUUUAUAGUUUAUUUCCUGAGGAUACAGACAUCAUUGUGCAAGACUGGGACAAUUUGAUUCAUUGAAUCUUUUACAAAAGUUUAUAUAAAUUAUUCCUGGAUGAAUUAGUCAUAUUAUUAGUCAGCCAUACAAAACAAUUGUUUUGAAUUCUUUAAGGACUGUAUCCAAAUUCAUUAAGUUUUCAUGGUAGAAGCACAUUAAUCACCAAUACCAUCAUUUUCUGCACUUUCUUUAACUUACUUUUAUUUCUCACGUCUCCAUGUCAUAUUGUUGUUGCAUUUGUAAUAAACUUUGCAGUAAAGACAACCACCAUACAUUUGUAUCUAAUGGCUAAUCUUAUAUUAGGUGAACUUGAAAAUCCUUAAGGAAAAGUUUUUUCUUAGUGUUUGUUAGAAAUAAAUAUUUAAUGGUUUUAAAGGAGUCUUCCUAUAAAGAACUCUUUGAGGAACUGUAUAUGUGUGUAUAUACCUUUACUUAAGUUUUAAGUUAAUGAGGCAGUGUUUUUCCUGAAGAGCUAGGGAUAUGGUAUAGAAAGAGUGUGGCUUUUUCUUUUCCUGGGGGAAGAAGGCUUGUAGUAAUAUUGUCAUGAUGUUGCUGGUAUUGAGUUAUUGCUGAAUAAAGAAUAGGUGUAAAGCAAGCAUGGACCUGAAUGCUUGUCUUUUAUUAAUGAAACAGUAAAUUCUUUCAUUUUGUUGAUGCUACCUGGGCAUAUAACCCAGACAUAAAUAAUCACAAAGCCUAAUUUUGAGGGUCUAAACAGAAUUGCAUAUCCCAUUUGCUUUGGUGCAUCGAUUACAAAGCCAGAUGUUAAGAACAGAUGUCAAUGAGCUAUUUUUCAUAUGCCAUGGUUCACAUUUAUGAACUCUCCAUUUAUCACCUCAGAUGGAAACGGUUAAUUUGACAGUGAGUGUUUUGGUUGUUAGCCAAUUUCAACAUGAGUCUUUGGUUUUUGAAAUCUGAUGUACAGAGAUGUGAUAAAACAAUUACAAUAGAAGCACUGUUAACUUGAUUUUGUGCCUUAGAAUUUACCAACAUAUAUAAAGUAAUGGAAAUGAAUGUUCCCUUUUAUGGUGAAUCAACAUAAAUCUAAUGUUGGCUAAGAAAUAAUGUAAAUGUUAUGACUGAAAUACAGAGUGGUUAAUCCAAUUGUAAAUUCCAUAUAACUGUAAGUCAGAUCCUUGUAGUGAUGUAUGGUGUGAUGGCGUAGUGGGUUUUGCUUAUUUCUUCUAUUUGAUUGUAACAAUGAUACUCAUCAAAAAUAUUUCAGGCAAUGUUUGUGCUAAAUAUGUUUUUAGAAUUGGCUUCAAAAUUUUGCUGUACUAUGGGAAAAUUUUCAUAUUGGUGAAUACUGUAUUUCCAAUUGUCUAUUAGCUAUGUUGAUAUAAUACAUAUUUAAAAGCAGCCAUCUACUAUAUUCUACUAGGAAACUUAAAUAACGGAAAAAAGGAAAAAUAAUAUUUUUAUUUUUAAAUGUGUGGACAGUUAUCUGGAAUAUUAAACUCUUUAGUAUAUACUAUAUUUUUAUAUUUUUUCAGCAACUUUGUGAGAUAUAUCACUAUUUUUAUUUUAUUGUUCCCAAGUCUGGAAAGGGAUAGAAGUGGGACUUAAAGGUUAUUUUUUCUCUCUGUUUUCUAUUCUAGUUUUCUUUCUACUACAUUUCAUUCCCUCUCUUUGAAUUCAGAACUCAAAAAAUAAUAGUUACUUUAAUCCAAAGUUUAAAGAAUGGAUUAAAUUCUAACCUAGGAGAUCUGAUUAUGUUGCAAACAAUAUAAGCUCUUUUCAUAUCUUUAAAUAAACUGAUGACUUUGAUAAGUAUAACAGAAGUUGGCUUAAAUGGUUUAUGCUUAAUCAACUUCUGUAUUAAUGGAAGCCCUCCAUUUUCUCUGUAAACAGGCUGAUUAUAAAACAUAGCACCUUGAAACCUUUGCAUCUCUGCUCCUACCACUUUAAUUGUAUGCUGAAAGUGAGUCAGUAGGGUAAUUUCAAAACCCUACACAAAUUAUAUCUGUGAUAUUAAUGAAAUUUAAUUGAAUAUUGCAUGUAUCAGUGAAAGAUGAAAGUGAAUGAGAAAAUAAUUAUAUCUAUGAAAACUGAGUGACAUAGUUUGAAAGAUACAGAUAAAGGUUAAUUGAAAUAAUAUUAACUGAAAAUGUACAAGAUUGUUGGAAGAGGAUUAUGAAGUGCUAAAAACCUUCUGCAUUUAAAUUGCCUUGCAAUUAUUUUUAUAAUUCCCAGUUUCUCUCUAAAGAAAUCCAAACUGUCAAUAAUAGAUUGUACACAUUGCUCAUAGACGAUGUAAGAAAAAUGAUAAAAAAUGCAAAGAGUAGCUCCAUUCUUCAAGAAACAGCCUUACUCCUACAAUGGAAAAUGAGCAAGAAUUUCUAUAUUUUAAGUUAAAAUUAAAUGUUUGUCAUGGUUAUAUCACUUUUUAAAAUAAUUUCCAGAUUUGACAUCCUUUUACGAUGAUCUUAACCAAUGACUGAUUUCAAAUGUGUCAGAUAUGAGGGAUUCUGUUGUUUUUAAAUAACUAAUAUCUGUUGCCUAAUCCAGUGUCCAAGUCACAGUGAAGGUUGUUCAUAGGGCCAAUCAAAGGCUAGAGAUCCAUCAUGUGAAAUCUGCCAACUCUGGAAUCUGAAUUGCUCAUGGUGGGCAAGGAAGAGGCAGGAAUAUAAGUGUGAUGGGAAGAGACAUAAUAGCACCUCACAGCACAUAGAAAUGGUGAGUUUUUCAGGGAUCUGAAGUAGUAUCCUGGUUCAGAGAAGUUCUUUCUGUGCAUUGAAGUUUGAGCUGUUUGUUACAGGAGUGGAAGAAGCAGGUAAUGCAGGGACAUUUUAGUAUGAGAUUCCAUCCUCAGACCUUAAAGGGAAGUGGAUGGAUGUGGUGUGCAGAAGGAUGAAUGGCCUCAAAGUAAUUAUGCCAGUGGGGAUUCCAGUUUCACUCUUACAAAUGUGUGUGUGUGUGUGUGUGUGUG